This 63-nucleotide transfer RNA is filed under the name Moechotypa diphysis. RNAcentral's name for it is "tRNA-Pro". Lineage: Eukaryota; Metazoa; Arthropoda; Insecta; Coleoptera; Cerambycidae. The record is from RNAcentral.
CAAGAAAUAGUUUAAUUAAAAUAUUAAUUUUGGAGAUUAAUGAUAGGGGAAUCUUUUUCUUGA